This 523-nucleotide ribosomal RNA is filed under the name uncultured Bacillota bacterium. RNAcentral's name for it is "bacterial SSU rRNA". It matches the Rfam family "Bacterial small subunit ribosomal RNA", at positions 383 to 896 of the family's 1533-position model. The record is from RNAcentral. Lineage: Bacteria; Bacillati; Bacillota.
CUGACGGAGCAACGCCGCGUGAACGAUGAAGGUCUUCGGAUCGUAAAGUUCUGUUGUUAGGGAAGAACAAGUACCGUGCGAAUAGAGCGGUACCUUGACGGUACCUAACGAGGAAGCCCCGGCUAACUACGUGCCAGCAGCCGCGGUAAUACGUAGGGGGCAAGCGUUGUCCGGAAUUAUUGGGCGUAAAGCGCGCGCAGGCGGUUCCUUAAGUCUGAUGUGAAAGCCCACGGCUCAACCGUGGAGGGUCAUUGGAAACUGGGGAACUUGAGGACAGAAGAGGAGAGUGGAAUUCCACGUGUAGCGGUGAAAUGCGUAGAUAUGUGGAGGAACACCAGUGGCGAAGGCGACUCUCUGGUCUGUUUCUGACGCUGAGGUGCGAAAGCGUGGGUAGCAAACAGGAUUAGAUACCCUGGUAGUCCACGCCGUAAACGAUGAGUGCUAGGUGUUAGGGGGCUUCCACCCCUUAGUGCUGAAGUUAACGCAUUAAGCACUCCGCCUGGGGAGUACGACCGCAAGGUUG